UUUGCCUACGGGAGGCAGCAGUGGGGAAUAUUGCACAAUGGGGGAAACCCCGAUGCAGCGACGCCGCGUGAGUGAAGAAGUAUUUCGGUAUGUAAAGCUCUAUCAGCAGGGAAGAAAAUGACGGUACCUGAUUAAGAAGCCCCGGCUAACUACGUGCCAGCAGCCGUGGUAAUACGUAGGGGGCAAGCGUUAUCCGGAUUUACUGGGUGUAAAGGUAGCGUAGACGGUGAGGCAAGUCAGAAGUGAAAGCC
Molecule: ribosomal RNA, 251 nt
Filed under: uncultured bacterium
Lineage: Bacteria
Description: partial 16S ribosomal RNA
Rfam family: Bacterial small subunit ribosomal RNA
Source: RNAcentral